AACGAACGCUGGCGGCGCGCCUAAUACAUGCAAGUCGAGCGAGAAGACGUAGCAAUACGUUUGUAAAGCGGCGAACGGGUGAGGAAUACAUGGGUAACCUACCCUCGAGUGGGGAAUAACUAGCCGAAAGGUUAGCUAAUACCGCGUACGCUCCUUGGACUUCGGUUCAGGGAGGAAAGCGAUACCGUGGGUAUCGCGCUCUUGGAUGGGCUCAUGUCCUAUCAGCUUGUUGGUGAGGUAACGGCUCACCAAGGCUUCGACGGGUAGCUGGUCUGAGAGGACGACCAGCCAGAAGGGGACUGAGACACGGCCCCUACUCCUACGGGAGGCAGCAGCGAGGAAUCUUGGGCAAUGGGCGAAAGCCUGACCCAGCGACGCCGCGUGAGGGAUGAAGGCCU
RNAcentral lists this ribosomal RNA (398 nucleotides) under uncultured bacterium. RNAcentral describes it as "bacterial SSU rRNA". It matches the Rfam family "Bacterial small subunit ribosomal RNA", at positions 29 to 417 of the family's 1533-position model. The record is from RNAcentral.